Molecule: non-coding RNA, 276 nt
Organism: Mesocricetus auratus (golden hamster)
Lineage: Eukaryota; Metazoa; Chordata; Mammalia; Rodentia; Cricetidae
Source: Rfam
GAAUGUCAAGUAGAUCUGGCUUUGAUCUGUUAUCCUAUGCACCACCAUGGCUGAUUUGGCUGAUUUAACUGGUUAGACGGAUGUCCCUUCUUCCUUAAUUAUUUCAUAUGUGUCCUGUACCACUAUCAAAGGAGACGGCCUUCUCAGAAGGAUGAAGACCAAUUUUCAGUCAAGAGUACAUGAAUAGUUAGCUGUGCUUUCUUGCUAGAAUCUUUAAAUAGGUUCUCAGGGGAAAAAAAUAUGCUACUUUACAAACUCUUGCCAGGACUCCUUCCU